UCUAUAGAUGAUCUGAAGCGAAUGCAGCAAGCAAACAAAGCGGAAAUUAUUAAGUCAAGAAUGGAUAACAUUGAUGCAACACUUUCUCCAGACCUACUGUUCUUGGUAAAGCAAUCCCGAGACAAAGGAGCGAGUUCCUGGCUAAAUGCGAUUCCACUCAAAGAUCAAGGUCUAGCCCUCAAUCAGCAAGAAUUCAGAGACUCGUUACGAAUGAGAUACAAUUUAACUUUGAACGAUUUACCAAGUCAUUGUGCGUGUGGAGAUCGCUUUAACAUCAAUCAUGCCCUCUCUUGUAAAAAAGGUGGGUUCGUGGCACAAAGGCACGAUGGAAUCCGUAAUUUGCUAACAGCGCAACUGGAUAAAGUGUGUAAGAAUGUGGAAAUUGAGCCUCAUCUUCAACCCCUUGAUAAUGAGAGAUUUGACUUGAGAUCGGCCAAUAUAAGUCCCGAAGCGAGAUUGGACAUGAAGGCGGACGGUUUCUGGCUACGUGGAGCUACUGCAUUUUUUGACGUAAGAGUAACGCAUGUAAACUCCCGAUGUAACCAAGGCCGGCCAACCCAGAACACUUUUAAGGAACACGAGAACGAAAAGAAGAGAAAAUACCAACAGAGAGUUUUAGAUGUUGAAAUGGGCUCCUUUACCCCACUUGUUCUUGGAACCAAUGGUGGAAUGGGGUCUGAAUGCCACAAGUUUCUUACUCAGCUGGCGCAGAAAUUAGCAGCAAGAGACCAUGAACGUUAUGCAGUUUUCAUAGCUUGGUUGAGAACCAGAAUCUCUUUCGAAAUUCUAAGAUCGGUACAUGCGAGUGUAAGGGGAUCUAGAUCACCUUUCUAUAGAAAAGAACUUGAAGUGGUAGACGAUUUUGGACUAAAUGUUAAGAUUGCAGAGGUUUUUUAAAGUUUCUUAAACUUUAACUUUACGUGCGAAGUACUCCUUUUCUAUAAAAAUUAGGAAGAACAACAAUCAUUAUGACAUUCGAAGAGUUUAAACAGCCCAUUGGAAAAUGCAUGGUGAUUAGAAUAGUUAAUUUUGAUCUAGUUUUAUUUAAAAUUCUUUUAAAUAAGUAUAUAGUUAAUUUGAAUAAAUAGAAUUAUGUGACUGUCUUCUCUCGGUGCUGCCUAUGGCGGUAUCGUUGGAGAUCCUUCGGGAUCUUUCUAAAAACUCUCCUCUCUGCUACCUCAAUUAGGGGCGCGGCGGGGGUUUGUUAUUCUUCCCCAAAGUGCCCCCGGGUUGUGGUAGCAACCUCUUUUGUCUUCCUUUUUAAUUUAUGAUCAGUCUAAUCAAUAUAUGCAAAUGAAUCUUAUUAUAAAUAUGAGAGCCCAACAUAUAACAUUUAAGAAAGCCAUCAAAACAAUUGAAGUUUAAAAGUAAUGAUGACUUUCUUUAAGGUUAUAUGUUGGGCUCUCAUAUUUAUAAUAAGAAUCCGUUUUCCGCCUGGCAAAUCUCUAGCUACGAUAUAUGCAAAUGAAGUUUACGUAAUCGUAUCUAUGAUGUAAUAAUUUAUGCUGAACCUAACACAUGCGCAGUUCACGACGAGCUUCUCUCUCGAUCUAUUCAAUAUGGUGGUCAAUCAAGAAAUGUUUUUGCUUGCAAAAAGAUCGUAAAUUGUUGGCGCUACAAGCUCGGAAAGAUUGUAAAUGAGAUCAGGCUUUUAUCAGCUCACAGAAUAACAAGAAGGAAGCAUCCAAACAAAUUCAUUUGUAACAUGGUGGAUAACAAAGUCCUUUCUUGAAAACCUACUUCAGUCAUUUUACGAUUAAAAGUCCAGCGAGAAAUGAAGUGAAAGGCGAUUUGAAAACCACGAGAUUGUUUUUGCCAAUGUUUUGAUCUGAAGGCUUAAAGAACCAUUUUUACAAUAUUGGAGAUAUGUAGUGGAAUAAAUGCCUGGAAAGACAAUUAUUGUCUGACAAUAUAAACUAUAAAUUGAAACCGGAAUGCAAUGAUAAGAAAGGGAAAUAUGGAAUAAAUGCCUGGAAAUACAAUAUAAACUAUAAUUUUAAACUGGAAUGCAAUGAUAAGAAAGGGAAAUAAACUAUUGCUAAGUCUAAAGAACCACUGAAGCUGAAGAAUUGAGAUACAACAAUCUUUGACUGACUUUAGGUGUAAGACGUUCGCCCAGCUAUUGUAGACCGCAUGGAAUCGAUUCAAGUCCUUUAAAAAUUUGUGAAUCAAGAUGAGAAUGAACUUAGUGAAUCUAUUGGUGGCGAUCGAAGGUGGACAGCAAGAUCGAAGCUCAGCAAGAUUGAAGAUUGUUCGAAGAAGAAGGAGUUCGCCGUUGACUAAAAGGUUUAUCUGAACAGCUAGUUGUCAAGAUGAAUGCGAAGACUCGCCCGGCCAAAUUCAAAAUGGCGAUGCCAAAGAAAACCAUCCACCUGGACCGUUCGCAGACCUUUCUGGGCAAGAUUGUUGUGCUGUCUGGUCAAAGUUAAGUAUUUUACUUUGAUGUUUGUGUGCCUUCGGCUAAUUGUUGGCCAGAAAUGACAAAAAGCCAUAUACAAUAUGAAAUAUUCUGCGUACAAGGUUAUCUAAAAUUUCGAACUUAAUUCUGCCUGCAAUGAUGAUAAUUUUUUACUGAAAAUUUAUGUCAUGAGCAACUUCCGCACCUAUAGACUGAAGCAGAACUGAACAUUUUGUCAUUAACGUUUAUCUCAACAGCCAGUUAUCAAGACGAACGUCAAGAGAACAGUUGAAAUA
Dendronephthya gigantea is the source of this 2694-nucleotide long non-coding RNA. RefSeq lists it as uncharacterized. The record is from RefSeq and is a predicted model, not a curated record. Lineage: Eukaryota; Metazoa; Cnidaria; Anthozoa; Malacalcyonacea; Nephtheidae. The transcript is spliced from 7 exons.